This 253-nucleotide ribosomal RNA is filed under the name uncultured bacterium. RNAcentral's name for it is "partial 16S ribosomal RNA". It matches the Rfam family "Bacterial small subunit ribosomal RNA", at positions 524 to 776 of the family's 1533-position model. The record is from RNAcentral.
UACAGAGACUGCAAGCGUUAUUCGGAUUCACUGGGCGUAAAGGGUGCGCAGGCGGUUAUGCAAGACAGAUGUGAAAUCCCCGGGCUCAACCUGGGAACUGCAUUUGUGACUGCAUAGCUAGAGUACGGUAGAGGGGGAUGGAAUUCCGCGUGUAGCAGUGAAAUGCGUAGAUAUGCGGAGGAACACCGAUGGCGAAGGCAAUCCCCUGGACCUGUACUGACGCUCAUGCACGAAAGCGUGGGGAGCAAACAGG